AUGAGACUCUUGUUGAGACCUUCCCCAUGCCCAGCUUCAGCGAGCACUGAGGGGGCACGGCCCUGCUGCCAGCCUGGGGGUGCUGGGGAGGGGGCACUGGGACCCUCAGAGCCUUUCCCCUCCCCUUUUCCCGGAUUUUCACCCUUGGGUGCUCCCCCCCUGCUCUCAGUGUUGGGGUACAGAGACCCCCCCCAGACCCUUCCUGGGCUUGCUGCAGCCUCACCUUGCACUUUUCUAUGGGGAGGGGUCGCUAAUAAAAGUGGGGGCAGAGCUUUGGAGGUGUUUGGGCCAUGCUGGAUUUUGGGGAGGGGUCCCUGGAGCCCCUCAGCGAGGCUCUGGUGCCUCAGUUUCCCCAGCCUGAGGGCAGGGGGUGAUGCUGAGCCCUGGGACAUUUGGGGUACAGUGGGGGGACAGCCUGGGGACCCUCCCCUGGUGUCCAGCCAGGCUCUGUCCCACGUCCAGGGCUCUGUCCCGUGUCUGUCCCGUGUCUGUCCCGUGUCCAGGGCUCUGUCUGGUGUCUGUCCCGGCUCUGUCCCGUGUCCCGUGUCUGUCCCAUGUCCUGGCUCUAUCCUGGCUCUCUCCCGUGUCCUGUGUCUGUCCCGUCUCUGCCCCGUGUCUGUCCCGGCUCUGUCCCGUGUCCCUGGUCUGUCCCGUGUCCGGGGCUCUAUCCCGGGCUCUAUCCCGGGUUCUAUCCCGUGUCUGUCCCGGGCUCUGUCCCGUGUCCCGGGCUCUAUCCCGGGCUCUAUCCCGGCUCUGUCCCGCGUUCUAUCCCGUCUCUGUCCCGGGCUCUGUCCCGUGUCCCUGGUCGGUCCCGUGUCCCGGCUCUGUCCCGUGUCUGUCCUGUCCCGUGUCCCUAGUCGUUCCCGUGUCCCGGCUCUGUCCCGUGUCUGUCCCGGCUCUAUCCCGUGUCUGUCCCGGCUCUAUCCCAGCUCUGUCCCGGGCUCUAUCCCGGCUCUGUCCCAUGUCCCGGCUCUGCCCCGUGUGUCCUGUCCCGUGUCACGUCCCCCAGAGGGUCCAGCCCGCCCCCCCCCGUGUCUCUCUGACCCCCGCCCCCCUCGCAGCCGGGACGGGACCCUGGGGCGUGGGAGAGGAAACGGCGCCGGCUGCUCGAGGGGUUUGUGCUGCUGCCAGCGGCGUGUGAGCGUCCCCCGGGGGCCGAGAGGAACAUCCCCGUGCUCGGGGCCUGGGAAAGCAUCAGCGAUCCAGACAUGGCCCUCCAAGGCUCUGGGAAACCAUAAAAGUUUCCAUUUGCUGCUCCCAGGUUUUAGGAAACCCUAA
RNAcentral lists this long non-coding RNA (1278 nucleotides) under Camarhynchus parvulus. Its description in RNAcentral is "lncRNA (ENSCPVG00000017220.1)". The record is from RNAcentral. Lineage: Eukaryota; Metazoa; Chordata; Aves; Passeriformes; Thraupidae.